This 253-nucleotide ribosomal RNA is filed under the name uncultured prokaryote. RNAcentral's name for it is "partial 16S ribosomal RNA". It matches the Rfam family "Bacterial small subunit ribosomal RNA", at positions 524 to 776 of the family's 1533-position model. The record is from RNAcentral.
GACGAACCGUCCAAACGUUAUUCGGAAUCACUGGGCUUAAAGGGUGCGUAGGCUGUCCGGUAAGUUGGGUGUGAAAGCCCUCGGCUCAACCGAGGAAUUGCGCCCAAAACUGUUGGGCUCGAGGGAGAUAGAGGUGAGCGGAACUAAGGGUGGAGUGGUGAAAUGCAUUGAUAUCCUUAGGAACACCAGUAGCGAAAGCGGCUCACUGGGUCUCUUCUGACGCUGAGGCACGAAAGCUAGGGGAGCGAACGGG